Molecule: ribosomal RNA, 1292 nt
Filed under: Casmara patrona
Lineage: Eukaryota; Metazoa; Arthropoda; Insecta; Lepidoptera; Oecophoridae
Description: 16S ribosomal RNA
Source: RNAcentral
UUAAAAGAAUUUUUAUUUGAAAUAUUUUGGGGUUAAGGUAUUUUAAUAAAAAAAAUUAAUAAUUUUAUAGUAAAUAAGUAUUGUAAAAGAAUAUUGAAAUAAUUUGAAAUUUAAUUUGGAAAAAAGUAAUAUUAAAUUUAUGUAUCUUGUGUAUCAGAGUUUAUUAAAAAUUUUUUUUAGUUAAAGAUUUUUCGAAUUUAAAAGAGAAAAUUAAUUAUAAAAGUUAUUGUUUCAAAAAUAUUUUUAAUAAUUAGUUGGAAGUGAGAUGUUAAUCGUUUUUAAAUAUAUCUAGUUUUUUAAGAAAAAAAUUUAAUUUUAAAAUUUAAUUUAUUAAAAAUUAAUUUAAUAAAUUUUUAAUUAUAUUAAAUUUUAAUAAUUUAGGGGAUAAGCUUUAAAUUAAAUAAUUAUAAUUUAUUUAGGGUUUUAAAAUUUUUAGGAUUUAUAUUGUUAAAUAAAAUAUAUUUUAUUAUAAAUAAUUUUAAAAAUUAUUUAAAAUUUAAUAUUAAGUUUAAUUUAUUUAUUAAAAAAUAAUUUUUAAUUUUAAAAAUUUAAAUAUAAUGAUAAAAUUAGUAUAUGAAAAUGGUGUAAUUAAAAUUAAAUUUAAUAAAUUUGAUUAAAAGGAAUUCGGCAAAUUUAUAUAUUCACUUGUUUAUCAAAAACAUGUCUUUUUGAGUAGAUAAUUUAAAGUCUAAUCUGCCCACUGAUAAAUAUAAAUAUUAAAGGGCUGCAGUAUAUUGACUGUACAAAGGUAGCAUAAUCAUUAGUCUCUUAAUUGGUGACUUGUAUGAAGGAUUGGAUGAAAUAUAGACUGUCUCUUAAUUAAGAGUAGAAUUUAAUUUUUAAAUUAAAAAGUUUAAAUAAAUUUAAAAGACGAGAAGACCCUAUAGAGUUUUAUAUAAUGUUUAAUUAAGUUUUUUAUUAAAAUUAAAAUAAAAAUUAUUUAUUAUAUUUUAUUGGGGUGAUAGAAAAAUGGAAAUAACUUUUUUUAUAGUUUAACAUUAAUAAGUGGAAAAAUGAUCCAGAAUUUUUGAUUAAAAGAAAAAAUUACCUUAGGGAUAACAGCGUAAUUUUUUCUUUUAGUACAAAUAAAAGAAAGAGUUUGCGACCUCGAUGUUGGAUUAAGAUAAAAUUUAGGUGCAAAAGUUUAAAGUUUUGAUCUGUUCGAUCAUUAAAAUCUUACAUGAUCUGAGUUCAAACCGGUGUAAGCCAGGUUGGUUUCUAUCUUUAAAAAAAUAAAAUAUUUUAGUACGAAAGGAUUAAAUAUUUAAAAUAAUUUUAAAAUUAAGAAUAAU